Molecule: ribosomal RNA, 725 nt
Filed under: uncultured bacterium
Lineage: Bacteria
Description: bacterial SSU rRNA
Rfam family: Bacterial small subunit ribosomal RNA
Source: RNAcentral
AACAGGAUUAGAUACCCUGGUAGUCCACGCCCUAAACGAUGUCAACUGGUUGUUGGGAGGGUUCCUUCUCAGUAACGUAGCUAACGCGUGAAGUUGACCGCCUGGGGAGUACGGCCGCAAGGUUGAAACUCAAAGGAAUUGACGGGGACCCGCACAAGCGGUGGAUGAUGUGGUUUAAUUCGAUGCAACGCGAAAAACCUUACCUACCCUUGACAUGCCAGGAAUCUUGCAGAGAUGUGAGAGUGCUCGAAAGAGAACCUGGACACAGGUGCUGCAUGGCCGUCGUCAGCUCGUGUCGUGAGAUGUUGGGUUAAGUCCCGCAACGAGCGCAACCCUUGUCAUUAGUUGCUACGAAAGGGCACUCUAAUGAGACUGCCGGUGACAAACCGGAGGAAGGUGGGGAUGACGUCAGGUCAUCAUGGCCCUUAUGGGUAGGGCUACACACGUCAUACAAUGGCCGGGACAGAGGGCUGCCAACCCGCGAGGGGGAGCUAAUCCCAGAAACCCGGUCGUAGUCCGGAUCGCAGUCUGCAACUCGACUGCGUGAAGUCGGAAUCGCUAGUAAUCGCGGAUCAGCUUGCCGCGGUGAAUACGUUCCCGGGUCUUGUACACACCGCCCGUCACACCAUGGGAGCGGGUUCUGCCAGAAGUAGUUAGCCUAACCGCAAGGAGGGCGAUUACCACGGCAGGGUUCGUGACUGGGGUGAAGUCGUAACAAGGUAACC